UUUUUUUUUUCACCUGAGUGUCUCCUUUACUACUCACACAGGAUACUUCAUUUCUGAUACUCUCUUUACCUAAUGUGUGGAGGUUUUUCUCACACCAAGUAAUUCUCGGACACCUGUGAGGUGUCCAAAGACUCAACUCAGUUCUGACACUAUCUACCUGGAGAUAGCAUCAGAACCUCCAGGUACAGGCUCAGUCCUCCACAAGACUGGACUCCUCACACACACAAAUUUCAGAGGCCAGUCCCACACCCAGUUUAUCACUUGUGCUUCUGACCAAUCAGCUUAGAUUGGAGGUUCCAAUGACCCCUCCUGUGUUUGAUUAAUUUGUUAGAGCAGCUCACAAAACUCAGGGUAACAGUUAUUUAAAUUUACCAGCUUAUUAAAGGAUAUAAUAAAGCAUGCAGAUGAAUAGUCAGACAAAGAGGUAACAUAGAGCAAGUUUUGGGAGGGUCUAAAGGUCAGGAACUUCUGGCCCUGUGAAGUCGGGGUGCAUUAUCCUCUCGGUAUGGAUGUAUUCAACCAACUUGGAAGCUCUGUGAACCCUGUAUUAUGGGGAUAUUAUGGAAGCCUCCUUACAUAAAUGUGAUCAAUUAUUAAUUCCUUUCCAGCCUCUCUCCCCGCUCUGAAAGAUAGGGAAUGAAGAUGAAAAUUCCAAGCUUCUAAUCAUGGCUUAUACUCUCUAGUGACCAGCACUCACCCAGGAGCCAUUCAGGAGCCCACCUAGAGUCAUCACAUUAGAUUAAAAGAUAUUCCUGGUUCUCUUAUCACUUAGGAACUUACAAGGUUUAUAUGAGCUCUUAUCAGGGAUAGAGUCAAAAACAAAUAGAACAAGAGAUGUUCCCUGUGUUUUUAUCACUUAGGAAAUUACAAGGAUUUUAUAGGAGCUCUGUGCCAGAAACUGAGGUCAGAUAUCCAUGGAUAUUUUUUAUUAUUUCACAGGGCUAUGCAAAUGAUUUACUAAUUUCAAGAGGCAACAGGCAGGCGGAAAAAUAGGAUUUAUAGAACACAGACUUGGGCUUAAUUCUUGGGUCAAUCCCUACCAGUUUUGUGACAUUGACAGUUUAUUAACCUCUUUAAGCACUUGAUCUCUCAUCUAUAAAAUGGAGAUUUUAAUACAUACUCUGCAAGGUAUUAAAAAAAUACAAUGAAAUGACCUAAGUACAUAAUACAAUUCUUGGAACAUAAAAGAUUUUCAAAAAUAUGUUUAGUUCCCUAUUCCCACUAAUCAUUUUAUACAUGAUGCUUACAGUUUGUAUGCUUCAUCAUCACGCAGUACAAGAAUAUCUCAGAAUACCUUCAGUACUCUCACUGGGCUAAGUUAGAUUAUUUUGUUCAUAAUAUGCCUGGAAUUCUUUUCACAUAUGUAAAGAUUUUAGAGUUGGCUGCUAACAUGCUGUUAAUGCUAGAUCAUAACUUUAAACUACUUAAAGAGAGAGUUUAUGGACAUGAAAGGAAAACUCAUGGCAGGGCAAUGGCAGAAGGUACCUGGAGGCUCAAAAACUCUGUGACAGCUUCCCCAACCCCCACCAAGCUGGGCAGCGAAGGCCUAAUUCAUCCAUGCUUUGGGUCAGCUCUGGCACUAAGUAUCCAUGAAAAGGGACAGAUACCAAUGAGCAAAACUAUCAAUUGAAUGUGAAGUCUCAUGUUUCAGAACACAGACUGUUUUUAAGGCUUUGUUAGAAGGAUGCUUCCUUAAAUUUAUGAAAUGGCAAGAGAAUUUGCUUCUUCUUAGCUUACUUAGUAAGAGUGUCCAAAAUUUCUCUCCCUUAAACAACUAUGAAGAAUUUGUUGUUCUACUCUGUAGGUAAGAGAAUUAGUAGCAAGCUGAGUGAUUUAGAUUCUUAUGUAGAAAAUUCAAGAUUCAAUUGUCAAUCAUAGUAUUUGUUGAAACGCCAGCUGUUGCGAGAUGGAAAUGCUUAGUACUCUGUGACAGUGAAUGCACUCCUAAUAUCACCAAUGCUUUCUCUAUCCUUCUCUUUCCUUCCCAUCCUUCUGCUUUCCUUCUUUCCCUCAAACAUGAGAGGAAACCAUUGAGCAGAUUCUGGAACACGGCAAUAGUUCAUGACCACCACUCCUCUCUUUCCACUUCAGCAGGAUGGCUACACAGUCUUCAUUCUCCCCACUUUCUUUUUUGUGCCUUCGUAUUUUUUUCUGAUACAGAAGGAACAUAAAUAAGAGUUUGCUUGACCCAGGAGAGAAAUGCUCUGAUUCCUACCAUCCAGGGAGAUUCCAAGAGAUGUCCAGAAGAGAAGAGCUGCUUGAUGCUACUAGAUAGAUGAGGCCAUAGAUAGCCUCAGAAUUGCCAGAGUAUAGUGAAGAGAACUUAGGGAGGUCCUGUGACCCCCAUACAUGCUAUUUAUGCCUUCUGACCCUCUUCCUUUGAGUGGGGCCAGGGAGUAUGACUUGCUUCUGGCCAUUGAUACAGCAAAGGUGAUGGAAUGUCACUUUCAUAAUAACAUAAGAUUAAAACUAACAUCUUGUUAAGAGACUCUUUGCCUUGCUGGCUGUGAAGAAGCAAGGGGCCAUGUCUAAAGGCCUACUUUCAGUUGCUACAAGUAGCCUCCAAGAUGACAGUCAGUAAAACUGUCCAACAGUCACAAGGACAUGAAUGCUAUUAACAACCAAGUAAGCUUGGAAGUGGCUCCUUUUCUAGCUGAGCCUUGGCUUAGAUUACAGCCCUGGCUGACAAAUUGUGAGACUGGUAAACCCAAAUAAUGGGGCAAAACUCCUGAUUUAUGAUGGAAAACUUGACAUAAUAAACAUGUGUUGUUGUUUUAAGCCACAAAUUUGUAGCAACACUACAGCAAUAUAAUAUAGAGAACGCAAAUAGGAGGAAGUACUAAGACAGGGAGAAGAGACAAAAACGUCAGCUACAACUGGCUACCGAGAAGUAAGUAGGACCGAAGAUAUUUUG
Molecule: long non-coding RNA, 2914 nt
Filed under: Canis lupus familiaris (dog)
Lineage: Eukaryota; Metazoa; Chordata; Mammalia; Carnivora; Canidae
Description: lncRNA (ENSCAFG00845016613.1)
Source: RNAcentral